RNAcentral lists this ribosomal RNA (175 nucleotides) under Hapalorchis sp. JANB-2018. Its description in RNAcentral is "5.8S ribosomal RNA". The stretch from base 4 to 159 matches the Rfam family "5.8S ribosomal RNA". Rfam says of the family: 5.8S ribosomal RNA (5.8S rRNA) is a component of the large subunit of the eukaryotic ribosome. It is transcribed by RNA polymerase I as part of the 45S precursor that also contains 18S and 28S rRNA. Functionally, it is thought that 5.8S rRNA may be involved in ribosome translocation. The record is from RNAcentral. Lineage: Eukaryota; Viridiplantae; Streptophyta; Magnoliopsida; Asparagales; Orchidaceae.
UAUGACUCUCGGCAAUGGAUAUCUUGGCUCUUGCAUCGAUGAAGAGCGCAGCGAAAUGCGAUACGUGGUGUGAAUUGCAGAAUCCCGUGAACCAUCGAGUUUUUGAACGCAAGUUGCGCCCGAGACCAAUUGGUUGAGGGCACGUCCGCCUGGGCGUCAAGCAUUAAAUCGCUUC